Long non-coding RNA from Sebastes umbrosus (honeycomb rockfish), 207 nucleotides. RefSeq lists it as uncharacterized. The transcript has 4 exons. The record is from RefSeq and is a predicted model, not a curated record. Lineage: Eukaryota; Metazoa; Chordata; Actinopteri; Perciformes; Sebastidae.
AACAGACGUUGCUAUGUAUUACAGACCGUUGCUAUGUAUAACAGACCGUUGCUAUGUAUCACAGACCGUUGGUAUGUAUCACAGACCGUUGCUAUGUAUAACAGACCGUUGCUAUGUAUAGCAGUCUGUUGCUACGUAUAACAGACCGUUGCUACGUAUAGCAGACCGUUGCUACGUAUAACAGACCGUUGCUAUGUAUAGCAGACC